Molecule: ribosomal RNA, 597 nt
Filed under: uncultured bacterium
Lineage: Bacteria
Description: bacterial SSU rRNA
Rfam family: Bacterial small subunit ribosomal RNA (bases 1-529)
Source: RNAcentral
CCUACGGGAGGCAGCAGUGGGGAAUUUUGGACAAUGGGCGAAAGCCUGAUCCAGCAAUGCCGCGUGCAGGAAGAAGGCCUUCGGGUUGUAAACUGCUUUUGUACGGAACGAAACGGUCUGCUUUAAUACAGUGGGCUAAUGACGGUACCGUAAGAAUAAGCACCGGCUAACUACGUGCCAGCAGCCGCGGUAAUACGUAGGGUGCGAGCGUUAAUCGGAAUUACUGGGCGUAAAGCGUGCGCAGGCGGUUAUAUAAGACAGUUGUGAAAUCCCCGGGCUCAACCUGGGAAUUGCAUCUGUGACUGUAUAGCUAGAGUACGGUAGAGGGGGAUGGAAUUCCGCGUGUAGCAGUGAAAUGCGUAGAUAUGCGGAGGAACACCGAUGGCGAAGGCAAUCCCCUGGACCUGUACUGACGCUCAUGCACGAAAGCGUGGGGAGCAAACAGGAUUAGAUACCCUGGUAGUCCACGCCCUAAACGAUGUCAGNGUGUGUGGUGNUAUAUAUCAGACGAGACACGNGNGAGUGCGCGNGGAGGCGCGCGAGUAGACGAGAAGAGUAGAGNGNGAGAGCGACGACGACGACGACGGAGGGAGGAGG